Molecule: long non-coding RNA, 635 nt
Organism: Piliocolobus tephrosceles (Ugandan red Colobus)
Lineage: Eukaryota; Metazoa; Chordata; Mammalia; Primates; Cercopithecidae
Exons: 2
Source: RefSeq, a predicted model, not a curated record
GCCACUGCACCCCACUCUAGCCUGGGCGACAGAGCGGGACUCAGUCUCAAAAAAAAAAAAAGAAAAAGAAAAAAGAAAUCCUAAAGGGAGACCUUCAAGAUGAAAUGAAAGGACACUAGACAGUACCUCAAAGUCAUACAAAAAGAUAAAGAUCUCUGGUUAAGUGAAACUGGAAAUCAACAGCAGAAGAAAAAUUGAAAAAUUCACAAAUAUGUGGAAGUUAAACAACACAUGCUUAACAAAAGGGUUGAAGAAUAAUUCACAAGGGACGUUCGAAAAUAGCUUGAAGUAAAUGAAAACACACACCAAAACUUACAGGACGCAGCAAAAGUAAUGCUAAGAGGGAAAUGUAUAGCUGUAAAUGCUUACAUUAGAAAAGAAGAAAGGUCUAAAUCAACAAUUAACUUUUCACCUUAAGGAACUAAGAAAAGGAAAACCCCCCAGAGCUAGCCAGAGGAAGGAAACAACAAAUAUUAGAACAGAGAUGAGUAAGACAAAGAAUAGAAAAGCAACAGAGGCAAUCAGUGAAACCAAGAGUUGGUUCUUUGAAAAGAUCAAGAAAAUGGUGGAUAAAUAUUUAGCUAGAUUGACUAAGAGAAAAAAAAGAAGACUCAAAUAAUUAACAUCAAAAAAAA